AGAUAAGAAGGACAUCUCCCUGUGGCAUCUUUCAUGACAUCAAUCACCAGAGCUCAUCCCUGUGACCUAGACAGCUGGAUCUCCCUUCCCCUUCACUGCUCCAUGUGUAUUCCUCCUGAAGCUUCAAGUUAUGUCUAGUAGAAACGGAGUCCAAAGAGAGCAGAUCCUUCCCCCAUCUAGGAGAACUGUUACUCAGUCAAGAGUCUAAGAGCAACUGAACUCCCUUCAAGAGAAUGUGCAAACAUGUUCUCAAAAACAGAGGAAAGGGCUGGAGAGAUGGCUUAGCGGUUAAGCGCUU
This 298-nucleotide small RNA is filed under the name Jaculus jaculus (lesser Egyptian jerboa). RNAcentral's name for it is "7SK RNA (ENSJJAG00000008763.1)". Lineage: Eukaryota; Metazoa; Chordata; Mammalia; Rodentia; Dipodidae. The record is from RNAcentral.